Molecule: ribosomal RNA, 210 nt
Filed under: uncultured eukaryote
Lineage: Eukaryota
Description: partial 18S ribosomal RNA
Source: RNAcentral
UCGUAUGGUGACAAGUCUCGUUAAUUCAGUAAAACGAGCGCGAUCUUAGUUGCAUAGAGAGGGUCAAUGUCCUCUUUAGGAUAUUUUGGUCCUCUCCAUCUGCCUUUACUCAAUGACAUUUUUUGUUGUUGAUGUGACGGUGGUGGAAUUGCAAGACAUUCGGUGUAAGGCAUAACGCCUGUAAUCGUAAGGAAGAGUAAGGCGAGAAUA